CGGAGGCUCCGUCCCAAAAUUCUUGUUUUUGAUUUGUCUAAAUAUGAAUGUAUCUAGUCAUGUGUUAGUAUUUAGAUACAUCUAUUUCUAAACAAAAGUAAGACAAGAAUUUUAGGACGGAUGGAGUAUAUA
Molecule: microRNA precursor, 132 nt
Filed under: Hordeum vulgare
Lineage: Eukaryota; Viridiplantae; Streptophyta; Magnoliopsida; Poales; Poaceae
Description: microRNA MIR1122
Rfam family: MIR1120/MIR1122 microRNA precursor family
Source: RNAcentral